CCUACGGGUGGCAGCAGUGGGGGAUAUUGCACAAUGGGGGGAACCCUGAUGCAGCGAAGCCGCGUGGGUGAAGAAGCGCCUCGGCGCGUAAAGCCCUGUCAGCAGGGAAGAAAAUGACGGUACCUGAAGCAGAAGCCCUGGCUAACUACGUGCCAGCAGCCGCGGUAAUACGUAGGGGGCACGCGUUAUCCGGAUUUACUGGGUGUAAAGGGGGCGCAGACGGCGGUGCAAGCCAGGAGUGAAAGCCCGGGGCGCAACCCCGGGACUGCCCUUGGAACUGCGUGGCUGGAGUGCAGGAGGGGCAGGCGGAAUUCCUGGUGUAGCGGUGAAAUGCGUAGAUAUCAGGAGGAACACCGGUGGCAAAGGCGGGCGGCUGGACUGCAACUGACGUUGAGGCCCGAAAGCGUGGGGAGCAAACAGGAUUAGAUACCCGUGUAGUC
Molecule: ribosomal RNA, 440 nt
Filed under: uncultured bacterium
Lineage: Bacteria
Description: partial 16S ribosomal RNA
Rfam family: Bacterial small subunit ribosomal RNA
Source: RNAcentral